Molecule: ribosomal RNA, 450 nt
Filed under: uncultured bacterium
Lineage: Bacteria
Description: partial 16S ribosomal RNA
Rfam family: Bacterial small subunit ribosomal RNA
Source: RNAcentral
CCUACGGGUGGCUGCAGUGGGGAAUAUUGGACAAUGGGCGCAAGCCUGAUCCAGCAAUGCCGCGUGUGUGAAGAAGGCCUGCGGGUUGUAAAGCACUUUAAGCAGGAAAGAAGGGGUGAAAGUUAAUACCUUUCAUCAUUGACGUUACCUGCAGAAUAAGCACCGGCUAACUCCGUGCCAGCAGCCGCGGUAAUACGGAGGGUGCGAGCGUUAAUCGGAACGAGUGUGGGCGAUUUGCGCGUACCCGGGUGAAAGCCCUGGGCUUAACCUGGGAACUGCGGUGGAUACUGUCGGGCUAGAGUGUGGUAGAGGGGAGUGGAAUUUCCGGUGUAGCAGUGAAAUGCGUAGAGAUCGGAAGGAACACCAGUGGCGAAGGCGGCUCCCUGGACUAACACUGACGCUGAGGUGCGAAAGCGUGGGGAGCAAACAGGAUUAGAUACCCCGGUAGUC